AACAUUUUAAAAAGUCUGUAAAAAUAAUUAUUCUUGCUGCACUUUAUGCAAAUAAUCAGGUCAAGUAUAAGACUAAAGUUUAUUUCGGAAACAACUUAUUCCUAUCAUGAUUUGUUUUUAACA
Sapajus apella (tufted capuchin) is the source of this 123-nucleotide long non-coding RNA. RefSeq lists it as uncharacterized. The record is from RefSeq and is a predicted model, not a curated record. The transcript has 3 exons. NCBI's taxonomy places the organism in Eukaryota, Metazoa, Chordata, Mammalia, Primates, Cebidae.